RNAcentral lists this ribosomal RNA (443 nucleotides) under uncultured bacterium. RNAcentral's name for it is "partial 16S ribosomal RNA". It matches the Rfam family "Bacterial small subunit ribosomal RNA", at positions 338 to 795 of the family's 1533-position model. The record is from RNAcentral.
CCUACGGGGGGCUGCAGUGGGGAAUAUUGGACAAUGGGGGGAACCCUGAUCCAGCGACGCCGCGUGAGUGAAGAAGUAUUUCGGUAUGUAAAGCUCUAUCAGCAGGGAAGAAAGAAAUGACGGUACCUGACUAAGAAGCCCCGGCUAACUACGUGCCAGCAGCCGCGGUAAUACGUAGGGGGCAAGCGUUAUCCGGAUUUACUGGGUGUAAAGGGAGCGUAGACGGCGAUGCAAGUCUGAAGUGAAAGGCGGGGGCUCAACCCCCGGACUGCUUUGGAAACUGUAUGGCUGGAGUGCAGGAGAGGUAAGGGGAAUUCCUAGUGUAGCGGUGAAAUGCGUAGAUAUUAGGAGGAACACCAGUGGCGAAGGCGGCUUACUGGACUGUAACUGACGUUGAGGCUCGAAAGCGUGGGGAGCAAACAGGAUUAGAUACCCGUGUAGUC